RNAcentral lists this ribosomal RNA (408 nucleotides) under uncultured bacterium. Its description in RNAcentral is "partial 16S ribosomal RNA". It matches the Rfam family "Bacterial small subunit ribosomal RNA", at positions 28 to 526 of the family's 1533-position model. The record is from RNAcentral.
GACGAACGCUGGCGGCGUGCUUAACACAUGCAAGUCGAACGAAGUGGCUAACGGGUGAGUAACGCGUAAUCAACCUGCCCUUCAGAGGGGGACAACAGUUGGCAACGACUGCUAAUACCGCAUACUGAAGGAGGGGAUUGCGUCUGAUUAGCCAGUUGGGGGGGUAACGCCCUACCACGGCGAUGAUAAGUAGCCGGUCUGGGAGGAGGAACGGCCACAGUGGGACUGGGACACGACCAAGACUCCUACGGGAGACAGCAGUGGGGAAUCUUCCGCAAUGGACGAAAGUCUGACGGAGCAACGCCGCGUGAAUGAUGACGGCCUUCGGGUUGUAAAGCUCUGUUAAUCGGGACGCGGUACCGGAAUAGAAGGCCACGGCUAACUACGUGCCAGCAGCCGCGGUAAUUC